UUCUGGAUUGCAGUCGUCAGAGAAAAGGGGGACAUGGGAUCUCUUCUGAUCAAUAUUUGUGAGGACCGAAGGGCCUCAGUGUCCGACAGGAAACACAGCCUGAACUCAGAUACUUGUGCUCUUCAGGUCAGUGUCACCCAGCCAAUGCACACGUCAGCAGAACGUACUUGUGGUGAAGACUUCAUAAGGAUGUGAUACGUACAGUGUGUCACUGAUCGUGUUAAGAUAAAGGUGCCCUGGGACUACAGAACAGGCGUUUCGACUGCAACACACAGCACUGUUGUGCCUAUGUGUGUCUCCUGUUUCCUGUUUCUGCAGACACAGCACUUUCAGCAGCUUUACAUUGGAUCAUUAGAGAUGUCCGAGCAGCUCUGAA
Molecule: long non-coding RNA, 376 nt
Organism: Electrophorus electricus (electric eel)
Lineage: Eukaryota; Metazoa; Chordata; Actinopteri; Gymnotiformes; Gymnotidae
Source: RefSeq, a predicted model, not a curated record